Molecule: ribosomal RNA, 514 nt
Filed under: Vibrio sp. 8Bf4S18
Lineage: Bacteria; Pseudomonadati; Pseudomonadota; Gammaproteobacteria; Vibrionales; Vibrionaceae
Description: bacterial SSU rRNA
Rfam family: Bacterial small subunit ribosomal RNA
Source: RNAcentral
AUGGGCGCAAGCCUGAUGCAGCCAUGCCGCGUGUAUGAAGAAGGCCUUCGGGUUGUAAAGUACUUUCAGCAGUGAGGAAGGGGUGUACGUUAAUAGCGUGCAUCUUUGACGUUAGCUGCAGAAGAAGCACCGGCUAACUCCGUGCCAGCAGCCGCGGUAAUACGGAGGGUGCGAGCGUUAAUCGGAAUUACUGGGCGUAAAGCGCAUGCAGGUGGUUUGUUAAGUCAGAUGUGAAAGCCCGGGGCUCAACCUCGGAAUUGCAUUUGAAACUGGCAGACUAGAGUACUGUAGAGGGGGGUAGAAUUUCAGGUGUAGCGGUGAAAUGCGUAGAGAUCUGAAGGAAUACCGGUGGCGAAGGCGGCCCCCUGGACAGAUACUGACACUCAGAUGCGAAAGCGUGGGGAGCAAACAGGAUUAGAUACCCUGGUAGUCCACGCCGUAAACGAUGUCUACUUGGAGGUUGUGGCCUUGAGCCGUGGCUUUCGGAGCUAACGCGUUAAGUAGACCGCCUGGG